GAUCCUGGCUCAGGAUGAACGCUAGCGGCAGGCUUAACACAUGCAAGUCGAGGGGCAGCAUAAUGGAUAGCAAUAUCUAUGGUGGCGACCGGCGCACGGGUGAGUAACGCGUAUCCAACCUGCCUACCACUUGGGGAUAACCUUGCGAAAGUAAGACUAAUACCCAAUGACAUCCCACGAAGACAUCUGAAUGGGAUUAAAGAUUUAUCGGUGAUGGAUGGGGAUGCGU
RNAcentral lists this ribosomal RNA (229 nucleotides) under uncultured bacterium. RNAcentral describes it as "partial 16S ribosomal RNA". It matches the Rfam family "Bacterial small subunit ribosomal RNA", at positions 15 to 236 of the family's 1533-position model. The record is from RNAcentral.